This 245-nucleotide long non-coding RNA is filed under the name Homo sapiens (human). Its description in RNAcentral is "non-protein coding lnc-OCIAD2-14:1". The record is from RNAcentral. Lineage: Eukaryota; Metazoa; Chordata; Mammalia; Primates; Hominidae.
AUUCACCUAACAUUAACCCUAGUAAUCAACACCCUAUUAGCCCUGUUACUAAUAAUUAUUACAUUUUGGCUCCCACAACUUAAUAUAUAUAUAUGGAAAAAUCUAGCCCUUAUGAAUGCAGAUUUGACCCUCUAUCCUCUGCCCACUUUCCCUUCUCCAUAAAAUUCUUUCUAGUAGCCAUCACAUUUCCCCUAUUUGAGUUAGAACUCGCCCUACUACUACCCUUACUGUGAGCCCUUCAAACA